GCUUACGGCUAUACCACCCAGAGCACGUCCAAUCCCGUCUGAUCUCGGAAGCCAAGCAGAGUCGGGCUUGGUUAGUACUUGGAUGGGAGACCACCUGGGAAUACCAGGUGCUGUAAGCU
RNAcentral lists this ribosomal RNA (119 nucleotides) under Betta splendens (Siamese fighting fish). The record is from RNAcentral. Lineage: Eukaryota; Metazoa; Chordata; Actinopteri; Anabantiformes; Osphronemidae.